RNAcentral lists this ribosomal RNA (892 nucleotides) under uncultured soil bacterium. RNAcentral's name for it is "SSU rRNA". It matches the Rfam family "Bacterial small subunit ribosomal RNA", at positions 1 to 889 of the family's 1533-position model. The record is from RNAcentral.
UAGAGUUUGAUCCUGGCUCAGAUUGAACGCUGGCGGCAGGCCUAACACAUGCAAGUCGAGCGGCAGCACAAGUGAGUUUACUCAUGAGGUGGCGAGCGGCGGACGGGUGGGUAAUGCCUAGGGAUCUGCCCAGUCGAGGGGGAUAACAGUUGGAAACGACUGCUAAUACCGCAUACGCCCUACGGGGGAAAGAGGGGGACUUUCGGGCCUCUCGCGAUUGGAUGAACCUAGGUGGGAUUAGCUAGUUGGUGAGGUAAUGGCUCACCAAGGCGACGAUCCCUAGCUGUUCUGAGAGGAUGAUCAGCCACACUGGGACUGAGACACGGCCCAGACUCCUACGGGGGCAGCAGUGGGGAAUAUUGCACAAUGGGGGAAACCCUGAUGCAGCCAUGCCGCGUGUGUGAAGAAGGCCUUCGGGUUGUAAAGCACUUUCAGUAGGGAGGAAAGGGUAAGUCCUAAUACGGCUUAUCUGUGACGUUACCUACAGAAGAAGGACCGGCUAACUCCGUGCCAGCAGCCGCGGUAAUACGGAGGGUCCGAGCGUUAAUCGGAAUUACUGGGCGUAAAGCGUGCGCAUGCGGUUUGUUAAGCGAGAUGUGAAAGCCCUGGGCUCAACCUAUGAAUCGCAUUUCGAACUGACCAACUAGGGUCUUGUAUAGGGGGGUAGAAUUCCACGUGUAGCGGUGAAAUGCGUAGAGAUCUGGAAGAAUACCGGUGGCGAAGGCGGCCGCCUGGACAAAGACUGACGCUCAUGCACUAAAGCGUGGGGAGCAACAGGAUAGAUACGCUGGUAGUCCACGCCGUAAACGAUGUCUACUCGGAGUUCGUGUCUGCAACACUCGGGCUCUCAAGCUCACCGCAUAAAGUACACCGCCUGGCGAGUACGGACUGC